Molecule: long non-coding RNA, 331 nt
Filed under: Capsicum annuum
Lineage: Eukaryota; Viridiplantae; Streptophyta; Magnoliopsida; Solanales; Solanaceae
Description: long non-coding RNA (CANN_LNC008889)
Source: RNAcentral
CCCAAAAAAAUACCACAGCAAGAAUUAGGACCCAUUUUUGGAUCACGUAGGAAUAGAAGCACGCGCCUCCCGAAUCCUCAAUUUUCCUUCCCCAAAAAAAUCCCCUUUUUUCUCUACGUAGGUGGGUAUUUAUAGUGAAUUUUGGGAUUGUUUUGGGGGGAAAUCAAAGGGGGUAAAAGAGGAAAAACGAGUUGAUAGAUGAGACUGGAGUUGGAAUUGUACGAAUUGGCUGAGCUGUUUUUUGUCGUUGUUGUACUGUUGAGCGUUGGAAUUGCAAGUAGUUGUCGGCUUUUUGUUGAAAGACGUUGUUUGUUGAUGUUAUUGAACGCUG